AUGGAUCGCUUUCCCCAGGAUAGUGAUGGCCGACAAGAUGAACACGACCCCAAGGAUAACACAUGCUCUGGAAAACAUACACACAGUCGAUAAGGGAUGACGAACACAAGGCGAGACUGUCUAAGGACCCUCUUUAGACAUGAAACCCAGAGCGGGGCCACUUCUCAAGGGACUAGAGAGUCUGUCUGCCUGGCCUCCAUCCAUCAAACCUGGUGGUCUUUAGGAAACUUUAACCUGCUGAGCCUGUGCCCAUCCACUCCAGCAUUCAGGCAAGUGUAUGUUGUUAAUAUUGAUUUUGAUAAGUGUUUGUCUCAAAUAUACAUCUAAACAUUAUAUAUAAUAUGCAUUCCUCUGCUGUAAAACUGCAUUGAAUGAUUUCCAGCAGCUAAAGUGUCCGGGAUCAGAUUUCAUCUCUUCACACUGUGAUGUCAGCACAUGCUGUGGAUCUGAGCUACCCAAACGACACUGUGGCUCGUGUCCAGUUAUCGACCUAAUAUUGACCUCUAAUGCACCUGAAUCCUCUAUCCCGAGACUGGAUGAGCGAUCUGAGAUAUUCCAUCCACCUCUACAGGGUCAGCCAAACUCUCAAAGAAGAAUGAAGAACAGGAAGCGAGUGUGCUGGCGAGUGAAGUGAGGCUUUCUGUCAAGCAUUUUUAUAGAAUUAUGCUAAAUGCUAAUGCUAACACUAAACUGUACUCUUUCUGCACUCCUCUCACAAAAUAAAAUCAUUUCAACUCAAAUAAAUAUUUAUGUCUAUUUAUUUAUUUAAUUAUUUUGUAACUAUGUAGGAUAAGUCAACUGCUCAUCACAAAAUAAAAUUGGCAAACAAUCGAUCGAUCGGAUCCCAAGUGAACGACGCUAAAUACAGGUGUAAACAGGGUGUGAAAAGUUUUGAGCUUGUCCACUUUCGACCACUUCCAGAGUUGAAAAAGCAUUAGACUGGAUUGCUUUCAUAGAGGAAACGCUCAUGUGGUCGAAUGUUUUCGAACAGCCGCUAAAGACCGCCUUCUCUCUGCCUACUGACCUAAUAUGUAAACAUGGAAAGUGCACUAGCCAGACGGGAUUUACACUUUAUAGGACCCAAGACCGUUUGGUUUCAAGACGAAAAACGUACGAAACACAAUGUUCUCUCACCAUUCUGAUUUCUACAUGGCGUUCGGCAUGGUAUUGCGGCUGUCAGAGCAGAAACUAAAGCUGAUGCUCUUCGUAUUUUUUUGCAUUGUAUCCGGGCGCAUUCAUAUGUAAAUUGCACAAGCUUAU
This is a long non-coding RNA of Megalobrama amblycephala (Wuchang bream), 1260 nucleotides long. RefSeq lists it as uncharacterized. The record is from RefSeq and is a predicted model, not a curated record. The transcript is spliced from 4 exons. NCBI's taxonomy places the organism in Eukaryota, Metazoa, Chordata, Actinopteri, Cypriniformes, Xenocyprididae.